This 76-nucleotide transfer RNA is filed under the name Bacteroidia bacterium. RNAcentral's name for it is "tRNA-Pro". It matches the Rfam family "tRNA". From Rfam's summary of the family: Transfer RNA (tRNA) molecules are approximately 80 nucleotides in length. Their secondary structure includes four short double-helical elements and three loops (D, anti-codon, and T loops). Further hydrogen bonds mediate the characteristic L-shaped molecular structure. tRNAs have two regions of fundamental functional importance: the anti-codon, which is responsible for specific mRNA codon recognition, and the 3' end, to which the tRNAs corresponding amino acid is attached (by aminoacyl-tRNA synthetases). tRNAs cope with the degeneracy of the genetic code in two manners: having more than one tRNA (with a specific anti-codon) for a particular amino acid; and 'wobble' base-pairing, i.e. permitting non-standard base-pairing at the 3rd anti-codon position. The record is from RNAcentral. Lineage: Bacteria; Pseudomonadati; Bacteroidota; Bacteroidia.
AUGGGAGUUGAACAAUGGCUAGUUCACUCGGUUUGGGACCGAGAAGGUACAGGUUCGAAUCCUGUCUCUCAUACAA